This 317-nucleotide ribosomal RNA is filed under the name uncultured eukaryote. RNAcentral describes it as "partial 18S ribosomal RNA". It matches the Rfam family "Eukaryotic small subunit ribosomal RNA", at positions 1470 to 1796 of the family's 1831-position model. The record is from RNAcentral.
CCCUUAGAUGUCCGGGGCCGCACGCGCGCUACACUGAAGGAAUCAGCGUGGCUCUGUCCCUGGUCCGAAAGGAUUGGGAAACCCGUUGAAUCUCCUUCGUGAUAGGGAUUGGGGCUUGGAACUGUUCCCCAUGAACGAGGAAUUCCCAGUAAGCGCGAGUCAUAAGCUCGCGUUGAUUACGUCCCUGCCCUUUGUACACACCGCCCGUCGCACCUACCGAUUGAAUGGUCCGGUGAAGCCUCGGGAUUGCGAAUGCUUCGUGCGGACGCGAGAACUUGGCUAAACCUUACCAUUUAGAGGAAGGUGAAGUCGUAACA